UCGUCAGCUCGUGUCGUGAGAUGUUGGGUUAAGUCCCGCAACGAGCGCAACCCUUAUCGUUAGUUACCAUCAUUAAGUUGGGGACUCUAGCGAGACUGCCAGUGACAAGCUGGAGGAAGGCGGGGAUGACGUCAAAUCAUCAUGCCCCUUAUGACCUGGGCUACACACGUGCUACAAUGGAUGGUGCAGAGGGAAGCGAAGCCGCGAGGUGAAGCAAAACCCAUAAAACCAUUCUCAGUUCGGAUUGUAGUCUGCAACUCGACUACAUGAAGUUGGAAUCGCUAGUAAUCGCGAAUCAGCAUGUCGCGGUGAAUACGUUCUCGGGCCUUGUACACACCGCCCGUCACACCACGAGAGUUGAUAACACCCGAAGCCGGUGGCCUAACCGCAAGGAAGGAGCUGUCUAAGGUGGGAUUGAUGAUUGGGGUGAAGUCGUAACAAGGUAUCCCUACGGGAACGUGGGGAUGGAUCACCUCCUUU
Molecule: ribosomal RNA, 480 nt
Filed under: Thomasclavelia ramosa
Lineage: Bacteria; Bacillati; Bacillota; Erysipelotrichia; Erysipelotrichales; Coprobacillaceae
Description: bacterial SSU rRNA
Rfam family: Bacterial small subunit ribosomal RNA
Source: RNAcentral